AUUAAGCUCGUGCAAAUGUGCUUGCAGGUGGUCCAGCAUGUGCGAAAUAAACGUCUGCAAGCAGUCCUGCACAUGUCAAAUUAACAUGCUAAUUUAGCCGUUCUUUAAUGUUCUUUUACCAUCCAAUUUCCCUAGGUCCUCCUUUCAACCAGAUUUCACAGUUUGAAGGAACUUCCUUUUCCACUACUAGCAGAGUAUGAACCUUCACAAGAUAAUGAUUUUGUCUUUGAAAAUUGUUGUUACUGAAUCAUAAUGUUUAUCAGCUAGUUUGCAGUGGAAAGAUCUGUUUCUCAUCACUGGCUAUAAAAUUCGGCUAACAAUCAAGCACCAGGAUCAGCCGUGCUUAGCAUAAACUAAGUCAGAUACUGGCUAGCUAAUUUAGCUAACGUAGGUAGCCUCGAACCCCGGCCAUAUUAUAUUAUAGUUAGCCUCUGCCCGGCCAUACUGCUAACCGCAGUGAACGGCGCCAUCUUGUGUUUUAUUAAAAGCUCUGAUGAAAAAACAUCAACUACAACAGCCAUGGGAACACAUUGGACUAUGUUAACACAAUCGAGGUAAAUUACAUGCUAGAAAGAUUGUUGCUUGAAUGCAGGGCCAGGCAUAUAUAGAUUAGACAACAGAGAUACUCCAAAAACACCCUACUCAUAAUCCUGGUAGUUGUUGAUUUUUGUACUAUGUUGUCUCUAUUUUGCUUUAUCAUAGACUAAAGGAAGACAAGCUACCUAAAUGUGACUUAUCGGCCAGCAUUGAAGGACAUGUUUUUGAGUUAAGUUUUUAGCCCAAAACCUUGCAUUUAAGCAAAACAACAGCUGAAGGUAGGCAACUUCUUCAGCCUGACUGGCUGUCAUUUCAAUGCUAGCGUUAGCUGCGCUAGCUCACGAUUAGCAUGAAGACACUGAAAAGCUCACAUAAAACAAAUUUGUCCAGUGACAACCUUGUAAAACCUUUGUUAACAUCUACAACAUAUCCGUUUUCGAACAGAAUAGACUUUAAUGUGGACGUUCACUUCGUUUUUUGAAUAUUUACAUUCCAUCAAUGCCUAUUAGGGUAAAAUAACAACUUCAGGCAUAUACCCAGUACUAUAUAGUACUGCAACAAAGGAAUAGGGUUCCUUCUGCUUUAUUUUCACACAAUUGUGUCUUGCAGAAGGGAGCCAUGAAGAGGAGCUUGGAGUGGGCAAGGGAGAGGCUGAUAAAGCAGUAGAGAAGACCUGAUUCAUCAAGUAUCACGGUUAAUUCUGGUGAUUCUGACCUGGUUGGAAUGCGCAACACGGCAAGACACUUCAAUCCGACACUCUUGUUAAUGUUUGACGUCAGGCAAAACGUCUUCAGCCACCGUAGGGUGGAGAGCCGCUGGUUGGCAUUUUUGACAGCGGUGUCUGUGUGGGUGUACCAGGAAAGGACGUUUGAAGUUAGGUCCCCAUGAUAUCAAAGCUCCUUACCAUCUUCACUGCAGCCCAGUCGAUAUCGAUUUUAAAAACUGGAACAAUAGAUAUCGUGUUGCACAUGGCAGCAAAAAUUCACUUGCCCAACUCCAGUUUGCCUAUUGUCCCAACACAUUUGUCAAUUAUGCAUUUUUACCUACGUCAGAGCGUGGUUUCUUUUAUAGCUCUGCUUUCAACACCAUCCUGACCCACAAACUGGUUAGCAGACUCAGGCCUCUGAGUGUAAACCCUGUAAAACGAAUUACAUUUUUUACAUUAUCACAAGAAUGUCUAUCCCCAUAAUGGACACAACACCUAAACAUGAUGACGACAAUACCAUGGUACCACCUGAUCACGAGUACAUGAAGGUGCUGUGGGAUCUGACAUAAUGGUGAUAGAACAACAGCCUCAGCCUAAGCAAAACAAAGUAGAUGGUGAGACUUGACCAUUCUCCCAUCUACUGUACAUUGACAUGGAGAUGAACAGCAGCUUCAAGUUCCUGGGCACCCUGAUAUCCAUUUCUGCCCUCAGUCACUUCACUCAAAGUCCCACCAGUACACCUCCACUUUCCUCAUCAACUUGCUGCACCACAACCUAUGUUCCAACUACAGUGUCUUUUAUUGCCAUAACACAUGUAAAUGAAAUGUUGUCCAUAUUUACUGUAAGAUUUAUUUAUGGUAACAUUGAACAUAUUGUAACAUUAUAGUCAGUUGACAUACAUGACUAUAACUACUAUUAACUACUAUUAACUACUUAGCAUAAUGCUCCGUUUACCCACUCUACUAAGAAAUCAUACAUUUAUUAAAAUAUUAAAGCUGCAUUAUGUA
Long non-coding RNA from Oncorhynchus tshawytscha (Chinook salmon), 2250 nucleotides. NCBI's taxonomy places the organism in Eukaryota, Metazoa, Chordata, Actinopteri, Salmoniformes, Salmonidae. The record is from Ensembl.